Podarcis lilfordi (Lilford's wall lizard) is the source of this 74-nucleotide non-coding RNA. The record is from the annotation of a GenBank genome assembly. Lineage: Eukaryota; Metazoa; Chordata; Lepidosauria; Squamata; Lacertidae.
GUAGGACUGUAUCUUAGUGACAGAGCAUGUGCUUUGCAUGCAGAAGGUCCCAGGUUCAAUCCUUGGGAUCUGCA